This 344-nucleotide long non-coding RNA is filed under the name Linum usitatissimum (flax). RNAcentral's name for it is "long non-coding RNA (LUSI_LNC002719)". Lineage: Eukaryota; Viridiplantae; Streptophyta; Magnoliopsida; Malpighiales; Linaceae. The record is from RNAcentral.
GCCUGCUGCAAAAUCCAAUCCCAUUAUAAAACAUUUCCCCAAAAUGGAAUGCUAAUUAAUCAAACCAUAGGUUAUAUUUGCUUGCUACCUUCUUCUUCUUCUCCCUCUUCUUCAGUAUCUUGACAUGGCAUUUCUUGAUGUAGUGCAUCAAAUGGUAUUUGGAGUGUCUGGAAUGCAAGUCUUUUUUGAUACCAGGUGUCUGGAAUGCAAGUCUUCUUUGAUACCAGGGUUCGAUUCCAGCCAGUCGUAGAUUUCGUUGGAUGUAACCACUUCUUCGUUAUCUAAGGUCUCCAACCACGAAUAAACCGGCCGCCAUUGAUCGGUUCGUUGAAACCGGUAACUCG